This is a long non-coding RNA of Siniperca chuatsi (mandarin fish), 4638 nucleotides long. RefSeq lists it as uncharacterized. The transcript is spliced from 2 exons. The record is from RefSeq and is a predicted model, not a curated record. Lineage: Eukaryota; Metazoa; Chordata; Actinopteri; Centrarchiformes; Sinipercidae.
CUACCUGCCGCACACCACAGGCACUAAUCAAGACUCUACAGUACAAAUACCCAGGCUCUUCACUCCAUUCUUCGCCAGAUCGUCAGUUACCCUUUGUGGUAACAAGAGCGGCCAAAUCCAGUCUUGUGAACGCUGCCUGAUCCUGUUUUCCUUCUGUGCCUAGAAUUGCCUCCUUGUCAUCACUUCCUGACUGCCUGGCUGCCACACUCUCUGCCAUGCUGAACAAACCCUGGGACUGUACAUGUCUUCUCCUUUGUCUGCAGUCUCCACUCCACACCAGUCUUCAUCUCUCUGGACUACAAGAGACUGUUCCCCCUUCCCACCAUGAACUGAAAUAAACUGUUUGCCAUUUUCUUACCACUACUGAGUUUUGCAUUUUGGGUCCAGCUCUCUCUCGAGUAAUACCUACUACAUCUGAAUAAACAAGCCUGUUCACACAAAAACCUAAAGAUGCCCGGACAUGCAGUCUCUCCAACCCAGAGGACCUUUGAAAUCAGUUUGCUCGUUAAUAGUUGUCUCAUGGAGGCUCGGAGAGAGGAACGCUUGACAGAGUUUGAAUGGAGACACCAAAGCUCACUUUUGUCAAGUACUGAAAUUUUCAUUUUCACCAUCCUUACCUUACUGUAGCAUAAAAAACGUUUCCUGCUGCAUUUCCUUGCCAGUGCCCCCCCCUUUGUUUUUAUUGCAAAUUCAAGUUAAGUCAUGAGCGAGUUACUGAGUGUAUAUUCAGCUGCUGAUGAGAAAUGCAGUCUGUUGCACUGGAAAUGAAAUGUUCCGAGUUUGACUUAUGGUGUAGUGUUAAGAAAACACAGAGAUUUAUUAUCUUUCUAUUCCAAGUAUAUUGAUCUGUGACGUCUUAGGUUUCACUUGGUCAAGGUAAACUGAAUUUCAUGAUGGAAUCACUGGUGGUACAUUUGUGCAUCAUAACUUUGUGUUUAAGAUACAACCUAAGUUUACAUUUUCUCCUGAUGUGCGGCUCACAAUACACAGUAGAUCUCAUCUUUUACUGUAUUCCGUCGGUAAACACAUGGAAAACAUGUUCGAUAGAUCCAUCUAGGGCUGCAACUAAUGAUUAUUGUCUUUAUUGAUUAUUUUGGGGUUUUUUCAGUGAAUCCAUCGUUUGUCAGAAAUAGUGAAAGAUGCCCAUCAGCGUCCCUUGAGCUCAUGGUGACAUCUUCAAAUCGCUCAUUUUGUUUGAACAGUACAAACCCAAGGAUUCAAUUUAAGAUGAUGUUGACGCAUGACUUAAAUAAUUCAUUAGCAAAAUUGUUGUCCAUUAGUUUUCUGUCAGUCCACUAAUCGUUUAAGCGUUAGAUUCAUCUAUCUACCUGACAAUAUCUGCAGUUUUUCAUGUGUCUGUUCUAAUUCCCCAUAAACAGACUAACAGGAUGCAUUUAUAAUUAAUCCACUCAGCCACAGAGCUGCUGCUCUGCUUUGAGGCGUCCUGGAGGGGAGGACACACUGGGGUGAAAACAACCCUGUACUUUAAAAACAACUCAAAACAAAGCCAUUCAUCCCUGAGCUUGCCCUCUCCCAGCCACAUACCUUCACGUCCCGUCUCAAAGGCAUCUAAACAUAAAGGCAGAGACAGAGAGACGGGGCAGCACUGACAAAGGGCCCCUGAGCAGCCUCCCCUUUCACACAGGCCAAUAUAAAACCACCAGGUUCCAAGUCCAAGGAGAAAAAAUAAAUAAAUAUCCUCUCCACCUCUCAACCCUUAUUUUGUUCCUAUUGCUCAUUAUCUACAAAAUCAUUCCAGGGUGACAGAAAUAUUGUUGCAUCUGUGCUUCCUUGCAAUUAAGGAUGAAGUGAAGAGUAAACUCGCAAACAAAGGCAUGUGUGAAUUUUUUGCUCCUUACACUUUAUUUAUGUCAGCCCUUUAGGGGCGUUUUUAUUCAACUAUUACAAUGUACACUAUAUUUGCAUUCCACUUUGGCAAGAAAAUUCAAUAUGUAGACAUGUUUUUUCAACAACUUAACUGGAAGUUGGCAGCAGGCCAUACAGACAUACAUGGUGCCAUCUCUUUCGUCAACAUCUUUCAACCUCCAUUGAAGUUUUGUUUAUUUUUUUGUUCUUGCUACAAAAUAAUAAUAAUACCAAUUUUUUGAUGCAAUGGUUUGUGUUCCACUGCUGCAUAUUAUGUUAAUAUGUUCUGUUGCUUUAAGGUGCAGUUACCAGAAAGUGGUACAGUGAAGUCCAUGUGCGCAUCCUCAUGGAAUUGCCGGUGCUAGACGCUUGGUGACGUAACUACACGCAUGGCUUGUUUGUGUACUGUAGCCAUGUGAGUACAAACUUGGCAUUUUGUACAUCAUUUAAUUAAAUAUAGAGUUUUUCUCUUAAAUUAAUGUCUGCAAACCAUGCUUCGUUUCUGGAGUAGUUUAUACUAUGGCAGAGGAGGGCUGAAGUGGAUGGUGCAACACAGCUACAGUAUCAAAGCUACGAUAGCUUCCUGCAUUUUGGACUACAGCUCUUCGGUUCCUCAGAAAGUCAGCACUAUGUGAAGACUGUUUGCUAUUUGUCAGUGACACAAAAUACUUGAUUGGCAAAGCAAAUUAUGAACAAAGUGCAAUGCAAAAAGAGCACCUAGGUUUGUUUGUUUUUUACUACUUAGUGUUACAAUGUCAUAUUUAUUUCUCUUAAGCCAUAUAAAUGUUCAAACCUAUGUAUGAACUGACACUAAGUGCUACUCCGUCCUGGUCCUUUUCACAUGUAACCUGUCAAAAUGGCAAGUUAACUCUUCCUCCACAGGGGGAAAAAAGCAUUACUUCAGGUGAGACACAUGAAUGUCUGUUCAGGAAUUUACUCUCAUUUUCCUGUUAAACUCAUUCUAAACUCCUCUGGUUACGUGUCCUUUAAAUACCACAAAUUCAGGAUAACAAAGUGUGUUGGGGAUGGGGGGAGAGAUGCUUUAAGGCGACCUUGACAACUCUACUACCACAACACCCAAAGCCCAUUCACUGUCAAUAACACUGCACCAAUCCUAUUCACAAUGCCAAGGCCAGCAAUAAAACUCUUGAUAUUAAAAGUUUGGACAAAGGGGACUUUACGGGGUUACAAUUUAUGGUCGUUUUUGAAGUGAGCUCUCAGACACUCUUGUUGCUUGUGAAGGGUUGGAGCUUUCAUCACUUGAAGCAAAAAGAAAACUUUGCAUUUGUCAUUUUAAUGAGUAUUUUAAGUGUAGUCCAAGGGAUGGGGUGGGGGGAGGCAUAUGUAGCAUCUGGUAAACAGUUGAUAAAACAUUUGCAUUUCCUCUCAGGAUUAAGAAAAUUAAUGUAUUAAUAUAAAUUUCAAUUUUUUGGGAUUCUGCUGGUGCUGUUUCUCAAACUGACUUUCAGGCAGUCAACAUUAAAAUAAAACUUGAAAUUCUUGAUCACUACAUAAGAAUGAAAUUAAAUUAAUUGCCAGUAUGCAUUCCUAACAAAACACACUGUUGUCUCACAUCCACAGUUUGCUAAGUAGUUACUGGUUUGGAGAAGUGAAAGGCAGACAUCUGCAAGCAUGUAGCGUGCAGAAAAGUAUGUGUAAUGCAGAAAUAUAAGGUUUGAAGUGUGGCAUUCUCUCUAGUCUCUCCUGUUUUCAGAACAUAUGUAACAGCUGUUUUAUCAUAUUUUUUCAGUGUCGACUGGCUUGCUGUUUUUGGCUGUGCUUCUCUACGCUAAUUUCAUCAACAGAUGUUACUUUUCAGCUAUGUAGAGGAGGAAAUGGGAGAGAAAUAAUGAUCUGUCAUAACUCUGAAACAGUAGGUGAGAAUACUGUAGCCAGCGUAGAGGUCCUACUUCAUAUUUCAUGCAUCCUACUGUGCUAAUGCUGCACUUUUCCUCCAUGCACAUUGAGGGAGUGUUUUAAUAAUUUUUUGCCCCCAAAUGUUUGCUCAUAUUUUGAGCAGGGGCUAAUAAGGAAUGGUCAGGGUGACUCAAAGAAAUGAUCAGUUUUGUGCACAAAUGGAAUUCAAGUACGUAGAAAAGAAAACAUUGAGUACAUCUCAAGUCUUUUAAAUGCAUCCAUGUUUCCCUCACUUGAGUCUUUUCCAUGUCAGGAGGAAAGAAAAGAGGAAAUAUGUUUUUAGAAAAUGAGACGUCUUUACCUCUGAAGCGUCACGUGAAGCGUCACGUGAGCCUUUUGAGGGAGAUUGUGUCUGCACAUGUGCACUGUGCUAAUACUAAGAAAGGCACACAGUUAUCGCUGCCAGAGCAGUAGUGUGUUUUCUCUGUAGCCUGUUACCUGUUUAACAAACACCUGCACAUGAAUAACAACCUGCAUUCUGUAUUUAUACUGUGUACUGUGUCCUGCUCAGAGGCGCAGGAAUCAUUUCUAGACAGAAUGCAUUUAUUAUUUAUUCAUUAUUUGCAUCCGUAUUUACUGAUUCUGAAUUCAUUAUUGAACAACCCAGAAUAUGAUUAUGGUGUCCUUUGUACAUUUGAAAUUAUUUAUUAGGCUAAAUGUUUCAGGGAAAAUUGAAAUUAUGUAACUCAUCAAACCCAAGGCUUAGGAAUUAUCAGCCUCACACGUGACUGAAUGGAAAUGACGAUAAAUGUGAAGUGUUCUGUCUGACAGAAACUUUAAUUGUAUCCUUAGUAAAAGUUAAUGUGUGAAAUAACAUCAUGAAAACAAAAAUCUUUCUAAUAAAUGAAGAAAGUU